AUACGUAGGUGGCAAGCGUUGUCCGGAAUUAUUGGGCGUAAAGCGCAUGUAGGCGGUGCCUUAAGUCUGUCGUGAAACUGCGGGGCUUACCCCCGUAUGGCGAUGGAAACUGUGGCACUUGAGUGCAGGAGAGGAAAGGGGAACUCCCAGUGUAGCGGUGAAAUGCGUAGAUAUUGGGAAGAACACCGGUGGCGAAGGCGCCUUUCUGGACUGUGUCUGACGCUGAGAUGCGAAAGCCAGGGUAGCGAACGGGAUUAGAUAUCCCGGUAGUCCUGGCCGUAAACGAUGGGUACUAGGUGUGGGAGGUAUCGACCCCUUCCGUGCCGGAGUUAACGCAAUAAGUACCCCGCCUGGGGAGUACGGCCGCAAGGCUUAAACUCAAAUGAAUUGGCGGGG
This 396-nucleotide ribosomal RNA is filed under the name uncultured bacterium. RNAcentral describes it as "partial 16S ribosomal RNA". It matches the Rfam family "Bacterial small subunit ribosomal RNA", at positions 523 to 918 of the family's 1533-position model. The record is from RNAcentral.